CUGAAGGGUAUGCUCGUUUGAGUGUCAUUGUACUCUCAUACUCUCUGAUCCUUUUGGAUUUGGGAGCGAUGGACUUGGGUGUUGCUGCUUUACCGUGGCUCACCUGGAAUGCAUUAGUGCAUCUCUUGGUUGGGCAUAGUACGGCGUGAUAAAGUGUCUUCGCCGGCACCUCGCAAGAGGGUGGCUGACCAGGAGCUCUGUGCUUCCUAAUGGUCUUCGGACAAUCUCUGACGGCUUGACCUCAAAUCGAGUAGGACUACCCGCUGAACUUAAGCAUAUCAAUAAGCGGAGGAAAAGAAACUAACAAGGAUUCCCCUAGUAACGGCGAGUGAAGAGGGAAGAGCUCAAAUUUUGAAUCUGGCGUCUUUGGCGUCCGAGUUGUAAUCUAGAGAAGUGUUUUCCGUGACGGACCGUGCAUAAGUCUCCUGGAAUGGAGCGUCAUAGAGGGUGAGAAUCCCGUAUAUGGCAUGGACUACUGUUGCUCUGUGAUACACUCUCGACGAGUCGAGUUGUUUGGGAAUGCAGCUCCAAAUGGGUGGUAAAUGCCAUCUAAAGCUAAAUAUUGGCGAGAGACCGAUAGCGCACAAGUACCGUGAGGGAAAGAUGAAAAGCACUUGGAAAGAGA
This 625-nucleotide ribosomal RNA is filed under the name Sebacina tomentosa. RNAcentral describes it as "eukaryotic LSU rRNA". The stretch from base 237 to 625 matches the Rfam family "Eukaryotic large subunit ribosomal RNA", at positions 1 to 386 of the family's 3401-position model. Lineage: Eukaryota; Fungi; Basidiomycota; Agaricomycetes; Sebacinales; Sebacinaceae. The record is from RNAcentral.